This 212-nucleotide non-coding RNA is filed under the name Clostridiaceae bacterium BL-3. Its description in RNAcentral is "T-box". It matches the Rfam family "T-box leader". Rfam says of the family: Uncharged tRNA acts as the effector for transcription antitermination of genes in the T-box leader family. T-boxes are found upstream of many aminoacyl-tRNA synthetase genes and some amino acid biosynthetic genes usually in Gram-positive bacteria. The anticodon of a specific tRNA base pairs to a specifier sequence within the T-box motif, and the NCCA acceptor tail of the tRNA base pairs to a conserved bulge in the T-box antiterminator hairpin. Lineage: Bacteria; Bacillati; Bacillota; Clostridia; Eubacteriales; Clostridiaceae. The record is from RNAcentral.
ACAAAAGCUUUGAUAGGACAAAGUAAAUAUGAAGAUAUUUGAAGAGAACGGGAAUUAGGUGGGAACCUGUAAAUACACAUAUUGAAACUCAUCCAGGAGCUGCAGGCUGAAUGUAGAUAUAGUUAGUAAGCUGAGCCGGUUUUUGUAUAAAUCGUUACAUCAAUUGAGCAUAAAAUUGGGUGGUACCGCGGUAGCUCUUUUUCGCCCCAGCG